GACGAACGCUGGCGGCGUGCUUAACACAUGCAAGUCGAACGGAAAGGCCCUGCUUUUGUGGGGUGCUCGAGUGGCGAACGGGUGAGUAACACGUGAGUAACCUGCCCUUGACUUUGGGAUAACUUCAGGAAACUGGGGCUAAUACCGGAUAGGAGCUCCUGCUGCAUGGUGGGGGUUGGAAAGUUUCGGCGGUUGGGGAUGGACUCGCGGCUUAUCAGCUUGUUGGUGGGGUAGUGGCUUACCAAGGCUUUGACGGGUAGCCGGCCUGAGAGGGUGACCGGCCACAUUGGGACUGAGAUACGGCCCAGACUCCUACGGGAGGCAGCAGUGGGGAAUAUUGCACAAUGGGCGGAAGCCUGAUACAGCAACGCCGCGUGCGGGAUGACGGCCUUCGGGUUGUAAACCGCUUUCGCCUGUGACGAAGCGUGAGUGACGGUAAUGGGGAAAGAAGCACCGGCUAACUACGU
Molecule: ribosomal RNA, 467 nt
Filed under: uncultured bacterium
Lineage: Bacteria
Description: partial 16S ribosomal RNA
Rfam family: Bacterial small subunit ribosomal RNA
Source: RNAcentral